Molecule: non-coding RNA, 117 nt
Organism: Daldinia loculata
Lineage: Eukaryota; Fungi; Ascomycota; Sordariomycetes; Xylariales; Hypoxylaceae
Source: the annotation of a RefSeq genome assembly
GGCCUGGUGGUGUAGUUGAAGCACAUUCCUCACUCGAUAUGUUGCGCGCGUCCCCCCUUUUACAUCCACAACCACUAUUGGGGAGGAAAUGAAUGGGUUCGAAUCCCAUCCAGGUCA